UACAGAGGGUGCAAGCGUUGCUCGGAUUUACUGGGCGUAAAGCGUACGCAGACGGUCUAGCAAGUCGGGAGUGAAAGCCCCGGGCUCAACCUGGGAAAUGCUUUCGAAACUACUAGUACUUGAGUUUGGGAGAGGGAAGCGGAAUUCCUGGUGUAGAGGUGAAAUUCGUAGAUAUCAGGAGGAACACCAGCGGCGAAGGCGGCUUCCUGGCCCAAUACUGACGUUCAGGUACGAAAGCGUGGGUAGCAAACAGG
This 254-nucleotide ribosomal RNA is filed under the name uncultured bacterium. RNAcentral's name for it is "partial 16S ribosomal RNA". It matches the Rfam family "Bacterial small subunit ribosomal RNA", at positions 524 to 776 of the family's 1533-position model. The record is from RNAcentral.